RNAcentral lists this ribosomal RNA (253 nucleotides) under uncultured bacterium. Its description in RNAcentral is "partial 16S ribosomal RNA". It matches the Rfam family "Bacterial small subunit ribosomal RNA", at positions 524 to 776 of the family's 1533-position model. The record is from RNAcentral.
UACGUAGGGUGCAAGCGUUGUCCGGAAUUAUUGGGCGUAAAGAGCUCGUAGGCGGUUCGUCGCGUCGGCUGUGAAAACCUGAGGCUCAACCUCAGGCCUGCAGUCGAUACGGGCGGACUUGAGUACUGCAGGGGAGACUGGAAUUCCUGGUGUAGCGGUGAAAUGCGCAGAUAUCAGGAGGAACACCGGUGGCGAAGGCGGGUCUCUGGGCAGUAACUGACGCUGAGGAGCGAAAGCGUGGGGAGCGAACGGG